GUAUAUGUUGGCUGCAGUAGGUUCAUUGUAGGAAUAGGAUGUACACCUAUAUGGGAUCUAGCGAUCCUGAUAGUUAGAAUGAAGUCCAAUGAGGAUUAUGAAACUGAAUUCGAAAGUCCAUGGCCAUGGCAAGUGUGAAUGAUGGAAAAAAAAUUUUAUGAGAAUUCACUAAGAACUCAGAUUGAUUGAAUCUUACAUAUGACAAGAUCAAGUUGAUGAGUUAUCCAUUACC
RNAcentral lists this long non-coding RNA (232 nucleotides) under Elaeis guineensis (African oil palm). Its description in RNAcentral is "long non-coding RNA (EGUI_LNC046315)". The record is from RNAcentral. Lineage: Eukaryota; Viridiplantae; Streptophyta; Magnoliopsida; Arecales; Arecaceae.